Molecule: ribosomal RNA, 216 nt
Filed under: uncultured bacterium
Lineage: Bacteria
Description: partial 16S ribosomal RNA
Rfam family: Bacterial small subunit ribosomal RNA
Source: RNAcentral
GUCUGGGAAACUGCCUGAUGGAGGGGGAUAACUGCUGGAAACGGUAGCUAAUACCGCAUAACGUCGCAAGACCACAGAGGGGGACCUUCGGGCCUCUUGCCAUCGGAUGUGCCCAGAUGGGAUUAGCUAGUAGGUGGGGUAACGGCUCACCUAGGCGACGAUCCCUAGCUGGUCUGAGAGGAUGGCCAGCCACACUGGAACUGAGACACGGUCCAG